UUUUAAGGCCCCCCCUAUGACAAUCGAAGCAGCCCUGACAAGAAAAACGAGAUAGUGUGCGGUUGAUCGGUCAUGCAAUCUGUCAAAUUUUCAAAAAAUACAGUUUGUUUACAUUUUGAACCGAACGAUAGCUCUCACGAUGUACAACGGCGAAUGAUUAAAAAAAGGCUACUUCGGUGAUGAAAAUGUUGUGUGUAAUGUGUACAAUAAACAGCCUAAAAAUUAUAAAUGGUGGUAGAAUCGACUUCGCACGCCUGAAAGCCGUUUAGGCUGUUGUGCAACCGUGUUGAGCCGGCGAUAGUUAGAAAGAGGGAAGAAAGAAUGCCCGCAAUCAAACUAAACGAUGUUUGAUCAUGGAAAACAAGUUAAAAAGCAUACAAAGCUCGCUCGCUGUUGGACGCUUGGACAAUUACUUUUACAAUCAUUCGGUGAUCAGUUUGCGAAACGUCUUGCCGCACGCCUGGUACAGGCCCUUCUUGUCCGCGUCGGUAUCGAUCGUGGACUGAUCGUUCGGCAGCGUCAGCAUCAUCACCUUCAUCUGCGGGUAGUUGUGGUACGGCACAGUUCCGGUCGCCAUCUCGAUCGCGGUAAUGCCGAACGACUAGAAGCCGUAUCCGUGGUCCCGCUCCAUCUCCUCCGGCGCCAUCCAGCACGACGUGCCGAUAAACGUGUGGUACACCUUCUGCCGCGACAUGUCUCCAUCGGUGGCGAGCCACGCGCUCAUCCGCUAUAUUUAAGGAGCCGUCGUCGCCGGGCAGUAUGAUGGCCACCUUGAUGUCCACGUAAUGAGCAAUGCGAAAUGUGCACUCAAUUGGCAAGCGCACAGCAAGAUCCAGCAAACGUUACCGACAGUCUUUGUCGCCGUGAAAAUGCUUCUAAUGCACGGGUGAGUUGCAUUAUAACUACAAGCAUACGUUUUUUUCCUUUCUUUAGUUUCAGCUAAUGCCAGACGAACGAUCGAAUGACUGUUGCUUCGGAAGGGAGGUCGUAUUACAGAUACCGACUUGGACAUGAUCCAGUCGGUCGGUUGCAGUUGCUCCAUGGUGCUUCGGAUAAGGCAACAACGGAGAAGCGCUCCGGACGCUCCGGAGAAGCAGAUCGAGAUCGGCGAAGCGGUGUAGUGUUGUGAUAUAGUGAUUGUGUGUACAUUUAAGGUGUAAAGGGUGAUUAAUGCUAGUAACGUUGUGUAAUGUUAUGCAGAACAAAAUGCAGCAUAAAUGGCGAUGAGCCAGCAUUGUUCAAAGGUGCCGGAUGUUAUACGUUAGAGCCUUUCUUUGUGGUGUGAUGUGUUAACCACCUUGCUGCCAGUUAUUAGGAUUAGGAUUAAACCAGUAUUAGGAUUAGGAUAUAAUUAGGAUUUAAACCAGUGCCGUUGAAUAAAAUGGUGUACAACAGGUUAGAAAACAUUCGGUGUAUUUUGUUUUGUUUUUUUAAAGCUCUUUCGAUUACCUAUUACGGAAGCAAAUAUGUUUCACUAAUGUGCAAAAGAUGGUGAUGUUACAUGAUAAGUAAAUGUUGAGCGUGUUGGCGGGUUUAAAAAAAAUAUUUUACUUGUCCUGCUCCGUUGGUUGUCUGGUUGUCUGGCUGGCUGGCUGGCUGGCUGGUUGGAUGGCAGAAUGGCUCACUGGCUGGUUAGUGCAGACUAUGAUCGGAUGCGCAUUUCCCUACGCCGCAGUGCCGGGUGCAUCAUACGUCGGUGUUGGGUUGCUGUUACUGGGCCGAGCGGAUGCGCGUGCACACGUGGGAAUAAACGACACGCAACCGUGGUAUUUUAUAUUGCAUCGGUACGAUUAUCGUGUUCAAAGGCUUUUUCGAGAAAUGCCAAUACAUAAAUCGGUUAGUUCGUUUAUAUCGGUUUCUCAAACCCCUGCAAGCAAUGGUCAAUCAUUUCAGUCUUAAACUUUUGACGAACGAAUGCCUGGUCGCUAGCUGCAGCUUCCCAUCGAUGUAGGCACACGAUCUUCGAGAUUUUACUUCACCUGAUCUAGCCAUCGCACUCGCUGUGCUUCCUCGCUUCUAGUACCGAACUGAGAGCCGCUCGAACACCUAGCUGCUGGGGCACGAGGCUGCCUUCUUCACAACAUGCUCCAGCCAUCGCAAACAGCCAUGUCCGGUGCGCCAUAUGGCUUCAGUAAGCUCGUGGAUAAUCAUUCGCAUCCACACCCCAUGCUCGAAUUCACCGCCAAAGAUGAUCCGGAGGAUGCGUC
This is a long non-coding RNA of Anopheles merus, 2207 nucleotides long. RefSeq lists it as uncharacterized. Lineage: Eukaryota; Metazoa; Arthropoda; Insecta; Diptera; Culicidae. The record is from RefSeq and is a predicted model, not a curated record. The transcript has 6 exons.